Molecule: ribosomal RNA, 301 nt
Filed under: uncultured eukaryote
Lineage: Eukaryota
Description: partial large subunit ribosomal RNA
Rfam family: Eukaryotic large subunit ribosomal RNA
Source: RNAcentral
AUAUAACUAAGCGGAGGAAAAGAAACUAACCAGGAUUCCCUCAGUAACUGCGAGUGAAGCGGGAAGAGCUCAGACUGAAAAUCUUCGGAAUUGUAGUCUGUCGAAGUCAGGUCAUCUCAAUUCUGCGGGCAAAGUCUCCUGCGAACGGAGCGCCGAGGAGGGUGAUAGCCCCGUUCAUGCCUGCAGAAGCGAGUGUACGACCGGCUUUCAACGAGUCGAGUUGUUUGGGAUUGCAGCUCUAAGCGGGUGGUAAAUUCCAUCUAAAGCUAAAUAUUGGUGGGAGACCGAUAGCGCACAAGUA